Long non-coding RNA from Ricinus communis (castor bean), 314 nucleotides. RefSeq lists it as uncharacterized. The transcript has 2 exons. Lineage: Eukaryota; Viridiplantae; Streptophyta; Magnoliopsida; Malpighiales; Euphorbiaceae. The record is from RefSeq and is a predicted model, not a curated record.
UAGUGCAGUUGUAGAUAGCCUUAGCUGUGCAUUGCUCUCUUUGCAUCAGUCAAUAUUAUCAGACAUGGAAAAUUGAGGAAGACUGCAAGAAGACCACCCGAAGUCCCCUAAAGUCGAUUGGCUCUUAUCCAGAGCUAAUCAGAUAUGCAUGAUAUUAGGCUGAUUUAUGAGUUCUUGAUGUAUUUUUAGUGAUUUUAUGUAAUGUAACUUAGUUUUUUAGGAUUUUUCUUUACAAUUUUUAGUUGUAGGCUGGUGUAAUAGCUAUAUUUACUUCAUAUCCUUUAUUUUUACUUUAAUCUGUGAUGGAUGCCAAA